Lotus japonicus is the source of this 3392-nucleotide long non-coding RNA. RefSeq lists it as uncharacterized. The transcript is spliced from 3 exons. NCBI's taxonomy places the organism in Eukaryota, Viridiplantae, Streptophyta, Magnoliopsida, Fabales, Fabaceae. The record is from RefSeq and is a predicted model, not a curated record.
UUCCCUUCUUCCCUGGGUCUAAACCUAAAACGCAUUCCUUCUCCUCCCUUUCCAGAAUCGUCUGAUCUCUGCUCUGCCGCUAAAUAAUCUGGUCCCUCUCCACCGAACGUGGAAUUUUGCGGUUUCUCUUCUCCUUCUAGGUUUUCGUUCGCCACAUCGAUGGAGAUAAUUUCAAAUUUGUUCUUCCAUUGCUUGAUUGAAAUCAUCCACGCAUACUAUGGUACUAUAUAUCCACAAUAGAGGUAUUUAGCUUUAAUGAUAUGGCUUUGGUUGAAUCUCAAUGUCUUAAUUGUGACAUGUACUUCAAAGAAUUUGGAGUCUGAUUUUAAGGGAAUGGCGCACAAGAUUCUGAAUUCGGAUUCAUUAUGACUUAACUUACCUUACAAGGAAACCCAAGUAUAUCAGUUAUGUCUACCAUAUGUUUAUGGUGCUGAAGUAAAAUGCUUUCUUAUUUUUUUCAUUUGAUUAUAUUCAGUUUGUAUGUCUUACUUUUGAUAUAGUUAGCUUACUUAUCUGUAAAAUGGAUUUGACAGUGGAUAUGUCUCAUAAACAAAUGUGUCUAAUAAUUACCAUGACGUGAGUAACAAACUUUACUUUAUAGUUGCCGUAUUUAGGUGACUUAAUAGCACGUUAGGAUCUGCUUAUUUUUUCUCAGAAUCGAUUUUGGCACCAUAAGCUACUCACAUAAGUUUCUCCCCUGAAUUAAUUGACUUUAGAGUCAACUUUAAAAGGAUUAUCAACUUUAGAAUAGACUUAAUUCUGUUCCAUUCCAUAUUUCCUUAACCAUGUGUUCGCUUCAUGAUAUUGAGCGCUUGAAAUCUGGAAAGCUACCAUUACGUGCGCCUAAUAAAGCAUAUGCCAACACCUUAAUAAAAGGGUUGGUGGAGGGAGAGAAGCUUUCAGAGGAUGGAGUCAUCGCUUACAUAAAAGCUGCUGCUAAAUCACUAUGAUUUGCAUAGGCAUGGCAUUGGCUUUGGGUGUAAAUCUUCUAGACCAGCUUACUGGUAAUAGUUAAAGUAUUUUUGGAAUGCUAAAUAUUGCAUUAGAGAACAAAUGUAUCUUAGUCUUAAUUCUGCAUUUUUACUUAUUUUAUGCCAAUUACUGCAUGAGGCUCAUUUACUUUGGUUUUAUUAGAUUCUAACUAAAAUGACUUAUGUCAGUUUUAUAUUAUUUUUAUCUGCAAUCCCAAUUAGUUUAACUUAACUGAUUUAAAUUGAUCAGACCUUCACUCUUAAAGCUUCAACUUCAAGUUUGACAUUUGAAUAUCUAAAUUUGACAGUGCUUGCUCCAGCAUCAUUUACUUUACCUUCUUUACUGGCUUCUUUGAAUUCACCAUCAACUCCAAUGAGCUCUUUCAUUGGGUUUGCAUAGUUUUUGUAAAGCGUUUAUGAUGAAAGAGGUCUUGGUGACAGGAGGCAGAGAUUCACGUCGAUUAUGAAUGAAAAUUAGAAACAAAUUUAUGAUGGUGGGGCUCAAGCAUUUUCUAUGAGUGAUCAUGGCAUUCCUAACUUCAUGUUGAUAAUUGAUUGAAAGGGCCAUAUUGUUCACUUUGCAGAAAAACUAAAAGGAUUAGAUUUGAAGUGCAGCAUGUUGACACCACUAUAUUAUAUGGCUUCCAGAAGAAGAAGCACAAAAACAUCCUAACACUGCAUCCGUGUGCGUUUAUGUUUUGUUUUAAGAAUUGAAACCAUGCUGAAACUAAUAAGAUGGAGUUGUCUUUCAGGAAUAAGCAUAUUGUUGUACAUAGAAAAAGUGAACUUAUUUUGCUAUAUCUUGGUGCAAAUUAUGCAUAGAAUUUUGAUCAUCGCAUACUAGAAAUUUGAAUAUUUUCUUUUCUGGAGAUCUUAGAAGUAGGCGGCUGAUAGCUCAAUUCCUGUUUUUUUCUUCAUGCUUGCCAUUUCAUUUAUCCUUCUUUUAAUUUUAGUGUCUUAAAUGUUUUUAGUUUUAAUUAGAGGUUGUGCAGCAAUAGAUUUUUAAGGUUGCAUUGUUAUGUUUCUAUUGGAGAAAUAGAGGACAGAUUGAUGCUUACGGGGAUACAUAAUUGCAUACUGUGGCUGACAUUUUCUGUGUGGGCAAUGGAUCAAUUGUGGGUUGGACAUAUGUAAGAGUAUAGUUUUUUCUCUCUGUAUCUAAUAAUGGUUCUAGAAGAUUUAUGCCAAUAUUGUCGAAGAGGUUUUGGAAGGUUUAUGGUAAAACUGGAUCAUUACUGCAUAUUUUCAUAUUUUUAGUUAUUAGUGUGUGUGUGUGCGACAAUUAAACUUUGUGAUUCCAAUGACAUUUGUUUUCCUUUGACAUGGGAACAAGGGUUUUGGCAUGGGAACAGGGGUUUAAGAGAAUUAAUUUGGAGUUGGUCGCUUGCUAAUUAAGAAUUUCAUGGAAAGAAUUACUUGCUGAAGAAUUUGCUGGUGUUGUGAAUGAAUUGGAUUGCAAUUUCUUAACACCCUCGAAGAGGUUGUUAGAUAGUGGGAAUGAGAGUAUUUCAAGCAACACUGGUCUUCUUUUUAGUUUCUUUUAGUUUUGUUUUGUAUGAAUCCAUAGAAGUAUUAGUAAUUCAUGGAUGUAGAAUUUUGGGUUUGAAUGUGUAAGGUUUUAAUUUCAAUUUUUUUUGUGAGAUUUAGAUUGUAAUUUCUCCCACUGAGGUUGAAUAGCAUGUGAAGGGGAAUGAAUUUGGACAAUCUCAUUUUUGUAGUGGUUGCGUCUAAAUUUUAUAGGCUCUCCCUGACAAGUUUUGUGGAGAAAGCAAAAGCAAAUGUCAUGUCUGAUGGAGGAAGAGAAAAAACACUUGAAUAAGUAUUCAUUCUAUGAGAUCAGUUCAAAUAAGCUCUUCCAAACUCAGCCUAAGAAAAAGUAGGCUCUCACUGACAAGUUUUGUGGAGAAAGCAAAACAAGGUAUGUCAUGUUUGAUAGAGGAAGAGAAGAAGAUAAUGGUUGAGGUUAAGAGCAAACAUAUUAUUUCCAUGGGAAUGCAUAGAAAGACGAAGGGUUGUGCGUAUUUGUGAUUGUAUAUAAUUUUGAGAGUUAAGAUAAAUGUGAAUGUGCCUUUACAGGCUAGAGAACACUACGGAUAUCGGGGUAUUUUUGUACACAGUCAUUAGCAAUUCAUUGCCGCAUAACAAGGACAUUUUACGAAUUCCUUUUUGACUGUGUUGCACUAUUACACUAAUGUUCUGUUUGGAUAUAGAGGUGAAAAUAAGUGGAAGGAAUAUAAGUGGAAAGAAUAUAAGAAGAAAGAAUAUAGGUUGAAAAUGAGGUGAUUUUGAAGUUGUUUGGAUUGAGGAAAGAAGAAUGGAAAAGUGAUGGAAAAGUGACAAGAAUGAAAGUGAGAGUAGUUUAAUAUUACUAAUUUACCCUUAUGGGUAAUAUUUGAAACAUUUCGUUCAUCUCUUAAAACA